Vidua chalybeata is the source of this 250-nucleotide long non-coding RNA. RefSeq lists it as uncharacterized. The record is from RefSeq and is a predicted model, not a curated record. Lineage: Eukaryota; Metazoa; Chordata; Aves; Passeriformes; Viduidae. The transcript is spliced from 2 exons.
AUACAUUAACUUCUUUCCCUGAUCUAUCCACUGCCAUCCUUUCUGUCAUCCUAACUGUCAUCCUGGGUGCAUAUUGGCAGGCCCUGAUGCCAGUCUUUGCCUUUAGAAUCAGACAGAAAGUAGUUGGCUUCAAAGGGGUUAUCUAAAGAGCCUUUUUACUUGAAUGUCCAUCUUAGGAGCUGCUUUGGAAUGGGUUUUCACACACAGGAAGACAGGAGAGAGAAUAAAGAAGAAGGAAGUUUCUGCUGUA